RNAcentral lists this ribosomal RNA (480 nucleotides) under Streptococcus sp. oral taxon 431. Its description in RNAcentral is "bacterial SSU rRNA". It matches the Rfam family "Bacterial small subunit ribosomal RNA", at positions 28 to 493 of the family's 1533-position model. The record is from RNAcentral. Lineage: Bacteria; Bacillati; Bacillota; Bacilli; Lactobacillales; Streptococcaceae.
GACGAACGCUGGCGGCGUGCCUAAUACAUGCAAGUAGAACGCUGAAGGAGGAGCUUGCUUCUCUGGAUGAGUUGCGAACGGGUGAGUAACGCGUAGGUAACCUGCCUGGUAGCGGGGGAUAACUAUUGGAAACGAUAGCUAAUACCGCAUAACAGUAGAUAUUGCAUGAUAUCUGCUUGAAAGGUGCAAAUGCAUCACUACCAGAUGGACCUGCGUUGUAUUAGCUAGUUGGUGAGGUAACGGCUCACCAAGGCAACGAUACAUAGCCGACCUGAGAGGGUGAUCGGCCACACUGGGACUGAGACACGGCCCAGACUCCUACGGGAGGCAGCAGUAGGGAAUCUUCGGCAAUGGACGGAAGUCUGACCGAGCAACGCCGCGUGAGUGAAGAAGGUUUUCGGAUCGUAAAGCUCUGCUGUAAGAGAAGAACGAGUGUGAGAGUGGAAAGUUCACACUGUGACGGUAUCUACCAGAAAGGAC